AUGAUCGACACUUUAUCCCACGAAGCUUUUAUCAGGCUGGCAGUUACUUUGUGGGCAAUAUGGUGGGCUCGAAGAAAAGCAAUACACAAACAAAUCUACCAGAGUCCCUCAGCAACCCAUGAGUUUAUUCAAAGAUUCUUGGCAGAUUUGGAGCUUCUUCCGAGGAGUCCCGUCAAGAACAACCCUGUGACGAGGUCUGGUGUACAUCGCCCUAAGGCCCCGCCUGCGGGGCAUGCUAAAAUCCACGUGGACGCGGCAGUUUCCAAGACCCGCAACUGUGGUGCCGCGGCGGCGGUGUGCAGGAGUAACGAUGGAAACUUCAUGGGCAGUUCAGCAUUGGUGAUACAUGGGAUAACUGAUGUAGCAACACUAGAAGCUAUUGCAUGCAGGGAAGGUUUUGCUCUGGCGCAAGAUUUACUAUUGACUGAUUUUGUUAUAGCAUCGGACUCCAAGCAAGUAGUUAAUGAUAUUAAGACAGCAAGCAAUGGAACUUACGGAGCAAUCAUCUCGGAGAUUAGGAAUCUUUCAGUAGGUUUCAAUUGUAAUAUUAAUUUCGAAGGCAGAGCGUCUAAUAGCGAUGCCGAUAGGUUAGCCAAGUUUACACACUCGUUGGAUCGGGGUAGGCAUUUGUGGUUUCUGGAACCCCAUGAUCCAAUUUGUAUCUCACUAAAUGUGGUUUUUGAGCAAUAA
Molecule: ribosomal RNA, 690 nt
Filed under: Triticum aestivum (bread wheat)
Lineage: Eukaryota; Viridiplantae; Streptophyta; Magnoliopsida; Poales; Poaceae
Description: partial small subunit ribosomal RNA
Source: RNAcentral